CCCGAUGGAGGGGGAUAACUACUGGAAACGGUAUCUAAUACCGCAUAACGUCUUCCGACCAAAGUGGGGGACCUUCGGGCCUCACACCAUCUGAUGUGCCCAGAUGGGAUUAGCUUGUAGGUGGGGUAAUGGCUCACCUAGGCGACGAUCCCUAGCUGGUCUGAGAGGAUGACCAGCCACACUGGAACUGAGACACGGUCCAUACUCCUACGGGAGGCAGCAGUGGGGAAUAUUGCACAAUGGGCGCAAGCCUGAUGCAGCCAUGCCGCGUGUAUGAAGAAGGCCUUCGGGUUGUAAAGUACUUUCAGCGGGGAGGAAGGCGAUGAUGUUAAUAACCUUAUCGAUUGACGUUACCCGCAGAAGAAGCACCGGCUAACUCCGUGCCAGCAGCCGCGGUAAU
This 400-nucleotide ribosomal RNA is filed under the name uncultured bacterium. RNAcentral describes it as "bacterial SSU rRNA". It matches the Rfam family "Bacterial small subunit ribosomal RNA", at positions 129 to 524 of the family's 1533-position model. The record is from RNAcentral.